RNAcentral lists this ribosomal RNA (498 nucleotides) under uncultured Glomeromycotina. RNAcentral describes it as "partial small subunit ribosomal RNA". It matches the Rfam family "Eukaryotic small subunit ribosomal RNA", at positions 591 to 1092 of the family's 1831-position model. The record is from RNAcentral. Lineage: Eukaryota; Fungi; Glomeromycota.
CCAAUAGCGUAUAUUAAAGUUGUUGCAGUUAAAAAGCUCGUAGUUGAAUUUCGGGAUCAGUACGUUGGUCAUGCCUUGGUAUGUACUGGUGUCACUGAUUCCUCCCUUCUGAAGAACCGUCAUGCCAUUCACUUGGUGUGGCGGGGAAUCAGGACUGUUACUUUGAAAAAAUUAGAGUGUUUAAAGCAGGCUCGCGCUUGGAUACAUUAGCAUGGAAUAAUGAAAUAGGACGUUAAUCCUAUUUUGUUGGUUUCUAGGAUCGACGUAAUGAUUAAUAGGGAUAGUUGGGGGCAUUAGUAUUCAAUUGUCAGAGGUGAAAUUCUUGGAUUUAUUGAAGACUAACUACUGCGAAAGCAUUUGCCAAGGAUGUUUUCAUUAAUCAAGAACGAAAGUUAGGGGAUCGAAGACGAUCAGAUACCGUCGUAGUCUUAACCAUAAACUAUGCCGACUAGGGAUCGGAUGAUGUUAAUUUUUUAAUGACUCAUUCGGCGCCUUACG